CCUUUUGCCACGUUAAUAAACUCUCUUACUCUACCUAAUUCAACUUCUCCUACACAACCUACAGACCCUACCCCCUAAUGACCAAAAUUUCCCAUCUCAACACCAAUUCUACCAGAAAGCCUAAUCUGAAAUAUAAUAACUCUGAUUUUUUCCUAUAUACCACUUCCGCAUAGGUACGUCCCCUACAUUAAAUCAAGAGAUAUGAAACAAAGAAUAUCUCUUUAAGACAAAAAUAUAAUUCUAUUAAGCGAUGAAGCAAGAAUGAAUUAUCAGGGCAGAUAAGUUAUCGCUAAAGGAAUGAUCGAGGAAUAACGCGUAUACAAGGAUUUUUACAAAGGAUCAGUUCGAGAAAUACUCCCAUAGUAUUUCAUGGUUCGCUGCAGCGACGAUUUGUUGUUUAGGAUAUUGGGUAAGUUUUAGGUAUGCCGCAUGCCACAGUCACUCCCAAGCACAUGUUGCCCGUGUCGCGAAUGAAUAUAGUUGGCCAGGCUAUAUUGACCCUAGACACGACUACAUAACUGCCCAGGUUUAACCGCAGCGUACAACACCCAUUUAUUUAUGUUUUUUUCUACUUGUAGUUACGGAUUUCGACGGCUCGGCAUACUUAAAUACUUUUGAAAAUACUUAUAUUUUGUAGGAUACUUUUAGUUCAGAGCACUUAGGCCCCUUAAUGUUUAUAGUCUUAUACCAUGUAAGGUUUGGUAUACUCUGUUCACUAUAAACAAGGGCUCUGAAACCAAUCUGUCACACCCCGAAAACCAAAGGCGGAAACGUUCCCGGGGUUGACUCCAUGUUGUGUAUCAAAUCCAAUGUACAUAGUAAUCACAGUAAACAACCAUUACAUUACAUAGAUCUGAAAGUUUACAUUUGGUUCAAAAGUAAAUUAUACAAAAGUUAUACAUAUAUCAUAUAAUAAAAAGUAGAGACGAGUCUUCUGAGCACUCCAUCUUCAUCAAAAGAUAACGUCGGGUACCUGUCUAACGAGGACCUGAGAAUACAAGCAGUUUGAAAAUCAGCAUAAAGCUGGUGAGUUCAUAAGCGGUUUUGUUUUAUGAAAAUGUAUCGGUUUCCUUUAGUUUUCCAAAAAGGUUUGUUAUUCAAGAAAAUCCCAUAUUUUCUUAUGUUAAUUAGUUUCGUUAACUUUCAUUACAGUUCAGUUAUGUGAUAUACGUUAACCCCAGGAAAAUCCCAUAUUUUCCUAAAUACAAGAUUGAUUAAAUAACAUAGAGUAUAGUUUAAUAUACAAAACUAUAAUUUAGACAAACUGUAUAUAGAAAGUAUUUUGAAAACCCUGGGACUAACAUCCCGAACCAGUUACAAGAUAAUUCGAUAAAGACCAUGGGAUCACUAUCCCGAAAAUAGAUGUAAGAUAACUUGAUAAAAACCAUAGGAUCACUAUCCCGAAACUAGAUAUAUGAUAGAUUGAUAAAAUCAUGGGAUUAUCAUCCCGCAUAAGAUUUAGUUUCAAAGCCAUGGGAUUACCAUCCCGAACGAAAUAUAGACACAAGAUCAUGGGAUUAUCAUCCCGAACGAGAUAUAGACAUAAAACCAUGGGAUUACUAUCCCGAACGAGAUAUAGAUACAAGACCAUGGGAUUAUCAUCCCGAACAAGAUAUAAAUUCUAAACAAAAUCCUAGCUGUGAAUAAAUUUAUUUUAAUACGUAUUGUGAGUCGGGUAACCAUACUGAUACGACAACGAGACCUCCUUGACGUUAGUCAGACGUCGAAUGAUAUACAGAAUUUGUCACCCCAGGCGUGCCCGCCUAACUGUAGCUAGCAGUUAAGGUGUGGGAUUGUCAGUCCCGAAUAGAUCUAUUCACAAAUUCCUCGCUCUCCCUCCAGGAGACUCUGGUUACACUUCCGGAGAGGAUUUACAUAAUCAUCCAUAAAGGGUAGUGACUAUCUCACAAGCUAGUAUUAAACUAUUCACAGAAUUCUCAUACAAAACUAAACAUACAAAGAUUAUAAAACAUGAUACAGUGAAAAUAGAUACAUACAAUGAGAUUAUCUGACAAUAUAUUCAAAUAAUACAGAGAUAAACUGAAUCAGACAUAGUUUAUCUAAUAACUUUAUAUGGAUAUAAAACAAGCGUUAUAGAAUCCCAAAUUAUUCCCAUAAUAAUUUGAUUAGUUUGGUUAUUUUCUUAACUAAAAUCCAUUUAGCUGUAAUUGAUAAAUCAUUCCUUAUGCUCUACAUAAUACAUAAGGAGUAAAAGUAUUGAUAAAUUUGCCAGAUAUUAUUUGAAACACAUAAAUGUUAUGAUUUGAAAACAGUUAUGGUUUGCUUGUAUUCCCCCCUGAAAACAGUUAAAAACAGUGAAAAAGGCGUAGGGGUAUGAACUCACCGGACGAGAAGUAUGACGAUUUGGACGCUAAGAGUUGAUCCGGGGAUUGUAAAUACACGAGGUUCCUAAUUAUAAUGUAAAGAUACACAUUUGUAUCUAAUUAGGACUUAGUUUAUUUAUAUGUUAGGGACACUUGCUUCAAGUCGCGAAAACACUCCGAUACGAGUGUUUGGAGGGACCCGGGUGGCGUUUAAGGACGUGAAAUGACACUAGGGACUUGGGAGUUGAGUUUACUCCCCAUGAGUAAACUAAUAUAAGAGUUUUUGGUCUAAAACACCCAUUCCCCAUGAGUUUACGGCCGUAAACUCAUGGUGGGUGUGGUUUAUGGUGCUAAAUGACUUCAUACACUUAGGGAAUAAUUUCUAGACUUGGCUUAAGGACUUGAAAGGAUUUUAAAACAUAAAAUAGACCCUUAUAUGGGAGUUUACGGCCUAGAAUGGCUUCCUGGCCGUAAACUCCUAUUUUCUCAAGAAAAUGGUGUUAAAUGGUCCCAAAACAAAUCACAUGUGAUUAAUAGAAUUAUUCCAAUGCCUAACAUGAGUUUUAUGGGACAUUUGAGGGGUGUUAUGGAGUUUACGGCCUAUGAGACCCCCCUCAUGGCCGUAAACUCUUCUAUAGGGUGCUACAAGGUGUUUCAAGGUCUAAAACUUGCAUAGAAGGGCUUCUAAAAUUCAUCUAAAGGCUUUAGGGGUGUUUAGUUUGCAUUCUAACACCAUAAAUCUUGGAGUUUACGGCCCAAGAACAAGCCUUGGCCGUAAACUCUUAGAAAUCCCACAAAUGAUGUGUUUAAGGCCCUUAAACUAUUUUUGGUUGGUCCUUUGAUUUAUUCCAAGGCUUUUGGUGGUGUUGGAUGGCUUUCUAACACCUUAGAAUUGAAUUUAUGCCAAGUUUUGGGGAGUUUACGGCCCAAGCACUCACCUUGGCCGUAAACUCAUAUAAGUCCCUCAAAAAUCAUGUUUCAAGUGUCCAAAUGCCAAAACCAAGGUCCUAUAAUUCAUAUCUAAGCCAUAGAAGUGAUUUGGAAGGGUUUAAGGGCAUGAAAAACCCCAUUUACAUGAGUUUACGGCCCAAGCUUAUGCCUUGGCCGUAAACUCCUUCAAAUGACUCAAAAUCCAUGAUUUAAGUGUUGUAAUCCCAUAUCUUGAAGUCCCUUAGCCAUAUCUAAAGUCCAAAUGAGUUUAGGAAGGAGUUUAAGGGCUUAAAACCCUUCAAAAUGGUUUUUACGGCCUAGGCAGCCUCCUGGGCCGUAAACUCACAUAUGUAGUCCCAUUUCAUGAUUAAAUGUCAAAUUUGGAAGCCAAACAUGCUAUAGAUUAAGGCUAGGAAGGUACCUUAAGGAUUUGAGGCCUUAAAAUUGAGUUUUGGACACUUAAUCUUUGGAUUUAGGAGAGAGGUUAGAGAGAGAGUAGAGAGAGAAGGAAAAAGCUUCAAAUGAGAGGUUAAACAUGUUUAUAUAGUUCCUAAAACUUGGACACGGUGGAAUUCUACCCGAUACCGGCCUUAAACGAUGCUUUAGGUCGCACCCGAUUGAGUUUCCGUCACCCGACGAGGAUAUUUCUAAAACUUAUGAAAUAAAUGUUUUGGGCUAAAUUCAUGAGUUCCUAAAUGAUUUGGACCCUCAUUGAAUGAUAAUAAACAUAUAAUUUUAGUUAACUAAACCCAAAAACGAUAUCGGGACAUUUCGAUCUCCGACGAGUUAUACGGGUAGAAUGGGUUUUCGGCGAUGAACAACUUCGGGUUGUUACAUUAUCCCCCCGUUAGAGGGAAUUUCGUCCCGAAAUUCAAAGAAUAAGAUACAGGUCAUGGAUUGGAAUGAAACACGAAUGGAUUUGUUGCUUCGGAUCUUCACUUUCUCAAGUGGAAUCAGGUCUCUACUGGGCGUUCUAACGAAUUCUCAUUAUCGGGACAUGUCUUGGUUUCGCUUCUUGACUCUCUCUCAAUCUACGAUAUCAAUCUGCUUUCUCGUGGAAGUUCCAACCCUGAACGACUUCGGUUUCCUCAAAGGAAUCACUAGGGUUUCGUUGGGCAGACGCUUCUAAGGAUUCGAGACGUGAUGGUCUAGAUAGAUAUUACCAAGCUCUAAGGGCAUCCGAAACCUGAAGGUUGCAGAAUCGAUCUCUACGAAGAUCUCGAAAGGUCUGAUGUGAGACUAAACUAGACGCUCGAAAGAAACUCCCGGGAAUCCUUCGGGAUAGACAUUUAGAGGGAAGAGCUGCUAACUUCCCGUUUCUCAAUAAUCACAGAAACGAGGGAUGCGUGAUAAUUCACAUUGGGAAAACUUUUGAGUUCUAAGGCAUAGAAUGAUACGAAAGUUUGAUGCCGAAGAUCACGAGAACAGGGUCGAGGAAAAAUCUAGACGAGCGACCCUUUCGAAAGCAAAGAUAACAACAUGAAUGAGACUCGGUCAUUUCAUGUUAAACAUAGCAUCAAAGUAUUUUCAUAGAAAGUUUCCCCCUUUUUAAAUCGAAUGGAACAGAAUAGUCCUCCGGACUGAGGAUUCAAUCUAUAGGUACGAAGUUAAUGUUCUCUAUCUCACUAGUUAGUCGUCUCGACGGUAUACAUUUCGAUUACAUACGAAGGAUUGAGUUUAGAAUAUGUUCGAAUAGAUAGAUAACAGGUUUCCCUUUUUGCACCCAAAAUCGAAAAGAGUUGCAAGUAUAAGAAUUAUCAAAGAGAGAUAUACCUGCGGCAGCAGAGGGAUUUGUGGUUGUAGCUGUCUUGGGACAAUUCCUUUUGAAGUGCCCAGCUUCACCACAAUUGUAGCAGGCCGGACUGAUUCCCGUUCCGGAUGAUUGGUUUGUUGGCUUGGCUGGUUUUCUGCAGGUUCGCGCAAGAUGGCCCUUAUUGCCACAGUUGUCGCAGAUCCUUUCGCGACAUGGUCCAGGAAUGCGGUGGUGGUAGUUGCACUUACCACACCAAGGAAGGGUACCAGUGUAUCCACUGGCGGGAGUUUGGGCUGUGGAACCUACAGCUGAAACAGCAACAGGGGCAGUAGCAGCAUGGACUGCUACCGUUUGCUGUUUCUUAGAAGACCCUUGCGUACUCUGGGCCUUCCGCUUGUUCCAGGAUUUCUUUUUACUUCCGCCUCCACUAGUGACUGGCUCGGGGGUAGUAGCUUCUUCAUCAGAGUUGUCUUCGUGAUCUAUCAGGAUUUUCGCAAGGCACUUAGCACUGUCAUAUGUGUCUGGCUUCGCAGCCAAGACAUUCCCCUUUGUUGGCUGGGUCAACCCCCAGAUGAAUCUCUCUAUCUUUUUACUUUCCGGGGUAACCAUUCCCGGACAAAGUAGGGCCAGAUCGUCGAAUCUUGAGGUAUAAGCAGCUAUGUCAGAACCCUUCAUCUUAAGGUUCCAUAGUUCAUGUUCUAGCUUCUGAAGUUCGCCCCGAGGGCAAUACUCUGCGAGAAGAAGCUCCUUCAUAGCUUCCCAACCCAUAGCAUUGGCUACAGGUAAAGUUAAGGAUUUGACUCGGCCAUUCCACCAAGUCAGGGCUUUGUCUAGGAAGGUACAGGCGGCAAACUUGACUCUAUCAGACUCCGAACAGCCACAUAUUUCAAAGAUUGAUUCGAUUCUCUCGAACCAUCGGGUUAAAGCAAUGACACCCCCUGUGCCAUCGAAGAAUGUCGGUUUUGCGUUCAUGAAGUCUUUAUAGGAACCCCCUUUUUGGUGUCCCUGGCUAUCUUCUGGGUUUUGGGGUUGGGGAUCACCUCCUGAAUUUCUAGAGUUCAUUUGCGACAUGGCUGCUACCAUUGCAGCAGUCAGAACUGUCUGAAGCGAUGCAAGAUCAAGUUGAAGAGGAGGAUUGUUGUUGUUCGUUGAGCUGGGUCUCUUUCUUGGAGGCAUCGUGAUCUAACAAGAUCAGGAAAGAGAGGAUCAUAAGUCCUCUGAAUUGAAUCAAGAGAUAUGGGACAGGAGAUAUCUCAUCAAGGCAAAUAUAGCAUCAUACUAAGCGAUAAAGCAGAAAGGAGUUAUCAAGAUAGAACAUUUUAUCGCUAGAGGAAUGAUCAAGGAAUAACGCGUAUACAAGGAUUUCUACAAAGGAUCGGCUCGAGAAAUACUCCCAUAGUAUUUCAUGGUUCGCUGCAGCGACGAUUUGUUGUUUGGGAUAUUGGGUAAGUUUUAGGUAUGCCGCAUGCCACAGUCACUCCCAAGCACAUGUUGGCCGUGUCUCGAAUGAAUAUAGUUGGCCAGGCUAUAUUGACCCUAGACACGACUACAUAACUGCCCAGGUUUAACCGCAGUGUACAACACCCAUUUACUUAUGUUUUGUUCUACUUGUAGUUACGGAUUUCGACGGCUCGGCAUACUUAAAUACUUUUGAAAAUACUUAUAUCUUGUAGGAUACUUUUAGUUCAGAGCACUUAGGCCCCUUAAUGUUUAUAGUUUUAUACCAUGUAAGGUUUGGUAUACUCUGUUCACUAUAAACAAGGGCUCUGAUACCAAUCUGUCACACCCCGAAAACCAA
RNAcentral lists this long non-coding RNA (6805 nucleotides) under Lactuca sativa (garden lettuce). Its description in RNAcentral is "long non-coding RNA (LSAT_LNC005918)". The record is from RNAcentral. Lineage: Eukaryota; Viridiplantae; Streptophyta; Magnoliopsida; Asterales; Asteraceae.